UACGAAGGGGGCGAGCGUUGUUCGGAUUUACUGGGCGUAAAGGGCGCGCAGGCGGCUCAUUUUGUCAGGCGUGAAAGCCCCGGGCUUAACCUGGGAACUGCGUUUGAUACGGAUGGGCUAGAGUUCGGGAGAGGAGAGUGGAAUUCCCAGUGUAGAGGUGAAAUUCGUAGAUAUUGGGAAGAACACCGGUGGCGAAGGCAGCUCGCUGGGACGUGACUGACGCUGAGACGCGAAAGCGUGGGGAGCGAACAGG
RNAcentral lists this ribosomal RNA (253 nucleotides) under uncultured bacterium. Its description in RNAcentral is "partial 16S ribosomal RNA". It matches the Rfam family "Bacterial small subunit ribosomal RNA", at positions 524 to 776 of the family's 1533-position model. The record is from RNAcentral.